GCGGGAAUAGCUCAGUUGGUAGAGCACGACCUUGCCAAGGUCGGGGUCGCGAGUUCGAGCCUCGUUUCCCUCU
This 73-nucleotide transfer RNA is filed under the name Alitibacter langaaensis DSM 22999. RNAcentral describes it as "Pasteurella langaaensis DSM 22999 tRNA-Gly". It matches the Rfam family "tRNA". From Rfam's summary of the family: Transfer RNA (tRNA) molecules are approximately 80 nucleotides in length. Their secondary structure includes four short double-helical elements and three loops (D, anti-codon, and T loops). The record is from RNAcentral. Lineage: Bacteria; Pseudomonadati; Pseudomonadota; Gammaproteobacteria; Pasteurellales; Pasteurellaceae.